CGGCGAUUUCUUAGUAGAAGCAGAAUUCAGCAAGCAUUGUAUUGUUCACCCACUAAUAGGGAACGUGAGUUGGGUUUAGACCGCCGUGAGACCGGUU
Molecule: non-coding RNA, 97 nt
Filed under: Ficedula albicollis (Collared flycatcher)
Lineage: Eukaryota; Metazoa; Chordata; Aves; Passeriformes; Muscicapidae
Description: Eukaryotic large subunit ribosomal RNA
Rfam family: Eukaryotic large subunit ribosomal RNA
Source: Rfam by way of RNAcentral